AGGUGAUAUUGUGUUGGUUUGUUGGUUUGUUUGUUUUUGUAUUUUUAGUAAAGAUGACGUUUCUGCAUGUUGGUCAGGCUGGUCUCGAACACCCGAACUUAGGUGAUCCAGCCCCUCUCAGCCUACCAAAGCGCUGGGUUUACAGGUGUGAGCCACCGCACCCGGCCAGGUGACAUUACUCUUUUGCCUUGGCACUGCCCUCAGAAGGCAUGGUGGUAUAUUGCUGGGCCCAGCACCAAUGUGAUGUGAGUCUCCUGCCUGGACCCUGCCUACAAGGUGCAUUGUGACAUAUCUCUGGGCCCUUUGACUAUAUUAUGUGUCUCUCCUCUCUUAGAUGUUGCCCAAAAAGAGAUUGUGACAUAACUUUGGGCCCAGCACCGAGGUGAUGUCUCCCCUCUCCUGCCUGGGGCUUGCCCACCGAAGAGAGAGUGACUUAUUGAUGAGUUCAGCACACAGGGAUUGUGUCAUAUCACUCUGUCAAGAACCUAGAUGAGGUGACUCUCCUCUCCAGCCUGGGACCUACAUACGUUGUGUAUUGAGACAUGUCACUGGCUUCAACACCUGGAUAACACAACUCUCCUGCAUGGGCCCUGCCCAUAGAGGUGAUGCUACUCUCUACUUAUGGCUGGGCCUUGACAAAAAGAGGGAUUGGGACAUAUCCCUGGACGCUGAACCUAAGAGGUGGAGGUUGCCGUGGUGACAGAGUGAGACUUCGCCAAAACAAAACAAAAAAAACAACAACAAAAA
RNAcentral lists this long non-coding RNA (747 nucleotides) under Homo sapiens (human). Its description in RNAcentral is "HSALNT0257399". The record is from RNAcentral. Lineage: Eukaryota; Metazoa; Chordata; Mammalia; Primates; Hominidae.